ACACAUGCAGUCGAGGGGUAUAGUUCUUCGGAACUAGAGACCGGCGCACGGGUGCGUAACGCGUAUGCAAUCUACCUUUCACAGAGGGAUAGCCCAGAGAAAUUUGGAUUAAUACCUCAUAGUAUAAUGAGUUGGCAUCAACACAUUAUUAAAGUCACAACGGUGAAAGAUGAGCAUGCGUCCCAUUAGCUAGAUGGUAAGGUAACGGCUUACCAUGGCUACGAUGGGUAGGGGUCCUGAGAGGGAGAUCCCCCACACUGGUACUGAGACACGGACCAGACUCCUACGGGAGGCAGCAGUGAGGAAUAUUGGACAAUGGGCGCAAGCCUGAUCCAGCCAUGCCGCGUGCAGGAUGACGGUCCUAUGGAUUGUAAACUGCUUUUGUACAGGAAGAAACACUGGUUCGUGAACCAGCUUGACGGUACUGUAAGAAUAAGGAUCGGCUAACUCCGUGCCAGCAGCCGCGGUAAUACGGAGGAUCCAAGCGUUAUCCGGAAUCAUUGGGUUUAAAGGGUCCGUAGGCGGUUUAGUAAGUCAGUGGUGAAAGCCCAUCGCUCAACGGUGGAACGGCCAUUGAUACUGCUAAACUUGAAUUAUUAGGAAGUAACUAGAAUAUGUAGUGUAGCGGUGAAAUGCUUAGAGAUUACAUGGAAUACCAAUUGCGAAGGCAGGUUACUACUAAUGGAUUGACGCU
Molecule: ribosomal RNA, 694 nt
Filed under: bacterium 91_oclvp479
Lineage: Bacteria
Also listed under: 1 other name
Description: bacterial SSU rRNA
Rfam family: Bacterial small subunit ribosomal RNA
Source: RNAcentral